RNAcentral lists this ribosomal RNA (277 nucleotides) under uncultured bacterium. RNAcentral describes it as "partial 16S ribosomal RNA". It matches the Rfam family "Bacterial small subunit ribosomal RNA", at positions 28 to 324 of the family's 1533-position model. The record is from RNAcentral.
GAUAAACGCUGGCGGCGUGCCUAACACAUGCAAGUCGAACGUCCUACGCAAGUAGGGAGUGGCGGACGGGUGAGUACCACGUGGGCAAUCUACCUUUGGGUGAGGAAUACCGGCGAGAAAUCGCCGACAAUACCGCAUACACUCGGGCAACCGAGUAAAGUCGCAAGACGCCCGAGGAGGAACCUGCGCCCGAUUAGCUAGUUGGUGGGGUAAGAGCUUACCAAGGCGACGAUCGGUAGCUGGUCUGAGAGGAUGAUCAGCCACACUGGGAUUGAGA